GAGUGAAAAUACGAGACAAGACCUUCGUAUGCCAAGUCUGAUCCUAAUCUUACGGGUUAUCUGUAAUGAGUAAACUAGGGUGAACUUAAAAAGCUCAAUGUGAGUCUAAGCAAAAGUAAGCAUUGCAUAGGCAUGCAACCAGUCAAUGAAGCAUACAGUUAUUAUAAUAGUUCAUAUAGUUUAUCAUGACAUAUCAAACUUUUGUAUACAAAAUAGUGCAAUGAUCAUACCCAUUCAUCCGUUACACACCAUAAGUUCCCCAAAAUCCGUCACCCGAACACCAAAACAAUAAGAGCCAAAGCUUGAUGUGGUUAAACCACCUGUAACAAUAUGCAGUUAAAAUUGUCAGUAAUUUGCAGACAAGCUACCAAUAAGUUGCGUUAAGUCGCCAGUACUCUAAGGCGCAGAUAUAUUGCUAAACAAUAAUAUUGCAGAUAAAUCAAUAGUACACUAUGAAACUCUUCUGUCACGUAUCAAUACCAAACCCAUGCAAUGAAAUAUGACAUAAAUAAUGUAACAUAUCAUGCUAAACAGUAACAGUAUCAAUAAUAGUGGCAUGUUUAACAUGCUUUCAGUUUACCCAUUUUAGUGGCAUGCUUAUUCAUACAUUCAACAAAAAAUAAAAUAUCAUAUCAUACAGGAAACAAACAUUCAGUAUUUUCUUUCAGCAGUUACAUAUUUACAUAAUCACAAUAAGGCUCUUAUUUAUUCGACAAUUACCAUUAAUACUUACCUUAAUCGGCAACCCCUAAACCAACUCAAGGUCAUUCGACCAAGCACAAAUCAAUAUGUAAUAAUUGGUCAACAUGCAUAAUACUUAAUUUUUAACAAUCAUUAACACCCAAAGGUAAGCCCCACACCUAAUUACACAAUUCCGAACACUAUCACUUUUCCCCAGCUCCUACGCUUUAGAUCUAACUAGAUCUUAUUCAUAUUUGUACCCAAUAGAGAUCAAUCAUUAUACCCUUUAUCACCAAAAUAGGGUUCAGACAAAGCAAUGAGAUCAAUUGACUUUUCAGAUCUGGAGUUGAGAUUUGAUACUUACCCUAUUUGGCUUACAACAAUAUUGCGAACAAAUUACCAAAGCUAGUAUUGAUUUGAAUGGUUUGGAUCUAGACCUUGAAUCAGUCAUAACACAUAAAGAAUGGGACAUGCAAGAUUUUUCCAUUACAUUAAUUAAUAAAGAGGUAUUCUACGUCUGAUAAAAAGAAAAUUAAAAAUAAAACGCUUACACUACCCGACUAGAUCUGUGAUGUCAAAAAAAAAACCCAGAGAGCAGAAGAAAAAAAAAGGCUGGCGACAAUAGGGAAGAAAAAUAAUCAACAAGGUUUGGCUAUGGGAAAAAAUCGUAGCAACAAAUGGCCAAAGGAAAAGAAUCAAGCA
This 1383-nucleotide long non-coding RNA is filed under the name Gossypium barbadense (sea-island cotton). Its description in RNAcentral is "long non-coding RNA (GBAR_LNC016351)". Lineage: Eukaryota; Viridiplantae; Streptophyta; Magnoliopsida; Malvales; Malvaceae. The record is from RNAcentral.